Molecule: ribosomal RNA, 492 nt
Filed under: uncultured bacterium
Lineage: Bacteria
Description: partial 16S ribosomal RNA
Rfam family: Bacterial small subunit ribosomal RNA
Source: RNAcentral
AUUGAACGCUGGCGGCAUGCUUUACACAUGCAAGUCGAACGGUAACAGGCCUUCGGGUGCUGACGAGUGGCGAACGGGUGAGUAAUGCAUCGGAACGUGCCCAGAGGUGGGGGAUAACGCAGCGAAAGCUGUGCUAAUACCGCAUGUGAUCUGAGGAUGAAAGCGGGGGACCAGGCAGCAAUGUUUGGCCUCGCGCCUUUGGACCGGCCGAUGUCAGAUUAGGUAGUUGGUGGGGUAAAGGCCUACCAAGCCGACGAUCUGUAGCUGGUCUGAGAGGACGGCCAGCCACACUGGGACUGAGCCACGGCCAAGACUCCUACGGGAGGCAGCAGUGGGGAAUGUUGGACAAUGGGCGCAAGCCUGAUCCAGCAAUGCCGCGUGCGGGAAGAAGGCCUUCGGGUUGUAAACCGCUUUUGUACGGAACGAAAAGGCUCUGGCUAAUACCUGGGGCUGAUGACGGUAACGGAAGAAUAAGCACCGGCUAACUACGUG